GACGAACGCUGGCGGCGUGCCUAAUACAUGCAAGUUGAGCGCUGAAGGUUGGUACUUGUACCAACUGGAUGAGCAGCGAACGGGUGAGUAACGCGUGGGGAAUCUGCCUUUGAGCGGGGGACAACAUUUGGAAACGAAUGCUAAUACCGCAUAAAAACUUUAAACACAAGUUUUAAGUUUGAAAGAUGCAAUUGCAUCACUCAAAGAUGAUCCCGCGUUGUAUUAGCUAGUUGGUGAGGUAAAGGCUCACCAAGGCGAUGAUACAUAGCCGACCUGAGAGGGUGGUCGACCACAUUGGGACUGAGACACGGCACCAACUCCUACGGGAGGCAGCAGUAGGGAAUCUUCGGCAAUGGACGAAAGUCUGACCGAGCAACGCCGCGUGAGUGAAGAAGGUUCUCGGAUCGUAAAACUCUGUUGGUAGAGAAGAACGUUGGUGAGGGUGGAAAGCUCAUCAAGUGACGGUAACUACCCAGAAAGGGACGGCUAACUACGUG
This 497-nucleotide ribosomal RNA is filed under the name uncultured bacterium. RNAcentral describes it as "partial 16S ribosomal RNA". It matches the Rfam family "Bacterial small subunit ribosomal RNA", at positions 28 to 507 of the family's 1533-position model. The record is from RNAcentral.